CAUGGAGUUGAGCUCUUUUUUGAAAUCUAGAUUCCACAACCUUGAAGUGCUUGAAUAUUAAAACAUUAAUUAUUCAAGAGCCCUCACUGGGUUCUGUCCUGCUUUCAAGCCAUUAUUGGACAUUUUUUUUCUUGUAAUUCUAUAAACCUUUGCGUUUACAGAUGAAAACAUUUUAUAGUGCAAUAGAAUACAUGUGUAAUAUAGAAGAAAAUUCUCUCUGGCUUCUUCGGCACCUAUUUUUGUUAUAUAUCAAAAUGUAUACCUGAUAGUAAUGAUAUAGGCAAAUAAUUGAUUUAUUCCAUUAUUUAUUUUAAAUUUUAUUGUAGUAUAGCUGACAUUGUUGGAUUAGUUUCAGGUGUACAGCAAAGUGAUUCUUUUUUUCCCCGUAUAGGUAAUUUACAGAAUAUUGAGAAGAGUUCCCUGUGCUACAUAGUAGGUUCUCUCCAGGUGUCUGUCUAUACAUAAUAGUGUGUAUAUUCCAGUCCUUUCCCCCCAGUUUAUCCCUCCAUCCCCGUUGUUUCCCCUUUGGUAACCAUAAGUUUAAUUUUGAAAUCUGGAGUUCCCGUCUUUUUAUUUUAUAAACAAGUUCUUUUGCGUCAUUUUGUAUUAGAUUCCACAUGUAAGUGAUAUCAGAUGAUAUUUGCCUUUCUCUGUCUUAGUAUGAAAACCUCUAGGUCCAUCAUAUUGCUGCAUAUGGCCGUGCAAAUAAUUUAGAAAUAUGAUUUUUGAACAAAUACUUAUCAAGUAAUAUGGAAGUAUGUGGGACCAGACUUGGCAAUUGCGGGCACUAUUUCAAGUUCUAAUUAACAUUUCGAUUUAGUUUUGAUGCUGUAGGAAAAGAUUUAUCACGGCACUGUUCAUGCAGAGCUCUUUCAUUAGGAUCAGCUGAAUUAGGAACACAAUUAAAAAUACCUUUUAUAGCGCUUUCUCUCCUACCCUUCUUCCCCUGCCCCCUCUAUGAGUAGCAGUAUUUUAUUGAAAUAAGAGGGCCACUCAGCAUUUGAAGAGUCCCAUGCGAAUUGCUGGUUGAUGUCCUGGGGCCUGUGUCAUCCUUCACAGACUUUCAGGCGCUCUUGGUGUUUCAAGUUUAGAGUCCAAGUUGUUAAGAUAGGAGUUCCUGCUCUAGCGCAACGGGAUCAGUGGCAUCUUGGGGACACUGGGUUGCAGGUUCUAUCUCUGACCUUGGACACUGGGUUAAGGAACUGGCACUGCCAGAACUUUGGUCUAGGUGCAGACUGUGGCUUGGACCUGAUCCCUGGCCCAGGGACUCCAUGUGCCAUGGGGCGGCCAAAAAAAAAAA
Molecule: long non-coding RNA, 1300 nt
Filed under: Sus scrofa (pig)
Lineage: Eukaryota; Metazoa; Chordata; Mammalia; Artiodactyla; Suidae
Description: lncRNA (ENSSSCG00015056928.1)
Source: RNAcentral